RNAcentral lists this ribosomal RNA (237 nucleotides) under uncultured bacterium. Its description in RNAcentral is "partial 16S ribosomal RNA". It matches the Rfam family "Bacterial small subunit ribosomal RNA", at positions 114 to 354 of the family's 1533-position model. The record is from RNAcentral.
UGUGUAGAGAAUCUGCCCUGUACUGGGGGACAACAGAGGGAAACUUCUGCUAAUACCCCAUAUGAGCGUACCUGCGAUGGUAUUCUUGAAAGUUCCGGCGGUACAGGAUGAGUCUGCAUCUGAUUAGCUAGUUGGUGGUGUAAUGGACUACCAAGGCGACGAUCAGUAGCUGGUUUGAGAGGAUGAUCAGCCACAAUGGGACUGAGACACGGCCCAAACUCCUACGGAAGGCAGCAG